UGGUUAGAAUGUAAUGUAGAUAUUUCUAGAUGGAGUCUUGUGUGACAUCGUGAAUGACUUUUAAUUAUGCACAUAGCACUGCUGAGGUGUGUGUGUGUGUGUGUGUGUGUGUGUGUGUGUGUUAUUUUGGCACCAUUCCCAAAGAGAAUUACCUUAUUUCACAAUGAACACAGACCUCCACCACCAA
Podarcis lilfordi (Lilford's wall lizard) is the source of this 187-nucleotide non-coding RNA. Lineage: Eukaryota; Metazoa; Chordata; Lepidosauria; Squamata; Lacertidae. The record is from the annotation of a GenBank genome assembly.